Molecule: ribosomal RNA, 497 nt
Filed under: uncultured bacterium
Lineage: Bacteria
Description: partial 16S ribosomal RNA
Rfam family: Bacterial small subunit ribosomal RNA
Source: RNAcentral
GAUGAACGCUGGCGGCGUGCCUAAUACAUGCAAGUCGAGCGAACAGACGAGGAGCUUGCUCCUCUGACGUUAGCGGCGGACGGGUGAGUAACACGUGGAUAACCUACCUAUAAGACUGGGAUAACUUCGGGAAACCGGAGCUAAUACCGGAUAAUAUAUUGAACCGCAUGGUUCAAUAGUGAACGACGGUUUUGCUGUCACUUAUAGAUGGAUCCGCGCCGCAUUAGCUAGUUGGUAAGGUAACGGCUUACCAAGGCAACGAUGCGUAGCCGACCUGAGAGGGUGAUCGGCCACACUGGAACUGAGACACGGUCCAGACUCCUACGGGAGGCAGCAGUAGGGAAUCUUCCGCAAUGGGCGAAAGCCUGACGGAGCAACGCCGCGUGAGUGAUGAAGGUCUUCGGAUCGUAAAACUCUGUUAUUAGGGAGGAACAAAUGUGUAAGUAACUAUGCACGUCUUGACGGUACCUAAUCAGAAAGCCACGGCUAACUACGUG